GACGAACGCGGCGGCGUGCCUAAUACAUGCAAGUCGAGCGAAGUUUUUCUGGUGCUUGCACUAGAAAAACUUAGCGGCGAACGAGUGAGCAACACGUAAAGAACCUGCCUCAUAGACUGGGACAACUAUUGGAAACGAUAGCUAAUACCGGAUAACAGCAUUAACUGCAUGGUUGAUGUUUGAAAGUUGGUUAUGCUAACACUAUGAGAUGGCUUUGCGGUGCAUUAGCUAGUUGGUGGGGUAAAGGCCCACCAAGGCGACGAUGCAUAGCCGACCUGAGAGGGUGAUCGGCCACACUGGGACUGAGACACGGCCCAGACUCCUACGGGAGGCAGCAGUAGGGAAUCUUCCGCAAUGGGCGAAAGCCUGACGGAGCAACGCCGCGUGAGUGAAGAAGGAUUUCGGUUCGUAAAGCUCUGUUGUUAGGGAAGAAAGGAUAUGUAGUAACUAUAC
Molecule: ribosomal RNA, 453 nt
Filed under: Gemella morbillorum
Lineage: Bacteria; Bacillati; Bacillota; Bacilli; Caryophanales; Gemellaceae
Description: bacterial SSU rRNA
Rfam family: Bacterial small subunit ribosomal RNA
Source: RNAcentral